This 59-nucleotide transfer RNA is filed under the name Laqueus rubellus. RNAcentral describes it as "tRNA-Asn". The record is from RNAcentral. Lineage: Eukaryota; Metazoa; Brachiopoda; Rhynchonellata; Terebratulida; Laqueidae.
GAGAGGGUAGCUUAUAAAAAGCGCUUAAUUGUUAAUUAAGAGAAGUAUUGCCCCACUCC